Molecule: long non-coding RNA, 642 nt
Filed under: Setaria viridis
Lineage: Eukaryota; Viridiplantae; Streptophyta; Magnoliopsida; Poales; Poaceae
Description: long non-coding RNA (SVIR_LNC000171)
Source: RNAcentral
UAGAGGUGACCGAUAUGAAGAACAAUCUACCCAUGGAAGAACUGCUAGUUGGUGAUGGGGAUGAGGCGGCCGUAUGCCUUGCGUUCGUUGUCCUUGGGCACGGUGAUGGUGAGCACGCCGUUCUCGAGCGUGGCGUGGACGCUGUCGGUGUUGGCGUUGGGCGGCAGCCUGACGGUGCGCACGAAGCGCUCGGAGCUCCGCUCGACGCGGUGCCACCGGUCGCCCUUGUCCUCGGCGGCGCGCUGCCGCUGCCCGCUGAUCCGGAGCACCUUCUCCUCCUCCACCUCCACCUUCACCUCGUCGCGCCGCACCCCGGGGAGGUCCGCCAUGAACACGUGCGCCGCCGGUGUCUCCUUCCAGUCCAUGCUCGCCGUCGCGAACGGCGCCAGCCCCAGCGACGGCGCCGCCAACGCCGUCAGCGAGAUGGCGUCCACGAACGGUUCCAGGACGAUGUCGAUGCUCGCCGGCUCCACCUCCGCGCCGCCACCGCCGCCGGCGGUGCGCGCGCCGGCGCCGCCCUUCUGCUGGCCCUGCUGCUUGCGCCCCAGCAUGCUGGUGAUCAUCGACAUGCCAGCUGCUUCGCUGAUGAGGUGUUUCAGUCCUCACUCACUCGGUGUGUGUGCUCACUUACUUCUUGAUGCU